AAUUUUGAAUCUGGCGGUCUUCGCAGGCCGUCCGAGUUGUAAUCUAGAGAAGCGUCUUCCGCGCCGGCCCGUGUACAAGUCUCCUGGAAGGGAGCGUCAUAGAGGGUGAGAAUCCCGUCUCUGACACGGACACCGGUGCUAUGUGAUGCGCUCUCGACGAGUCGAGUUGUUUGGGAAUGCAGCUCAAAAAGGGUGGUAAACUCCAUCUAAAGCUAAAUACAGGCGAGAGACCGAUAGCGAACAAGUACCGUGAGGGAAAGAUGAAAAGGACUCUGGAAAGAGAGUUAAACAGUACGUGAAAUUGCUGAAAGGGAAACGCUCGAUGUCAGUCGCGUCGGCCAGGGAUCAACCUUGAUAAUCGAGGUGUAUUUCCUGGUCGACGGGUCAGCAUCAGUUUCGGUCGUCCUACAAGGGCCGAGGGGAACGUGACACCCUUUCGGGGGUGUGUUAUAGCCCUUCGGUCGUAUGUGGCGACUGGGACUGAGGAGACUCGGCGUGGGCUUUCAUAGCUCGCGCUAGAGAUGCUGGCAUAAUGGCCUUGAGCGACCCGUCUUGAAACACGGACCAAGGAGUCUAACAUGCCUGCGAGUGUUCGGGUGGAAAACCCGAUCGCGAAACGAAAGUGAAAGUCGAGAACUCCAUCCACGGAGUGCACCGACGCCCGGAUUCGUCGUCUUCGACGACGGAUCUGCGGUAGAGCAUGCAUGUUGGGACCCGAAAGAUGGUGAACUAUGCCUGAAUAGGGCGAAGCCAGAGGAAACUCUGGUGGA
This 770-nucleotide ribosomal RNA is filed under the name Boletus sp. RNAcentral describes it as "LSU rRNA". It matches the Rfam family "Eukaryotic large subunit ribosomal RNA", at positions 112 to 871 of the family's 3401-position model. The record is from RNAcentral. Lineage: Eukaryota; Fungi; Basidiomycota; Agaricomycetes; Boletales; Boletaceae.